CAGAUGGUGUCUUUAUUUGACUUGGGGUCCUUGAGCCAUGCCACAUAGUCUGUGCUAACAAUGUGAUUUAUGGUGGGGGCCUUGAGUCAGGCAGUAUAGGCUUGACCUCUGGAGGUGCUAGAAACUAAGGUCAGCUAUGUGGGUGGUUAUCCCCCAAUAAAAACCCCAGACACCAAGGCUCAGGUGAGUUUCCUGGUUGGCAAUACUCAAUGCACAUAGUCACAUAUUAUUGCUAGGAGAAAUAAGCAUUGCUUGCACAACUCCACCAGGAGAAGACCACUGGUAACUCUGUCUGGUCUCUCCCGGACCAUGCUUUAUGUGCCUUUUCUUGGUGUUGAUUUUAAUCUGUGUCCUUUCACUGUAAUAAACUAUAAUUGUGGGUAAACAGCUUUGCUGAAUUCUGUGAGUCCUUCUAUAGCAGUAUUGAACCUGAGAGUAGCCUUGGAAGCUCCUGACUACUACUGACUAACCACUACAUUGUUAACUUUUAUAGGUUUUCAUUUGUCAUGUUUUUUCCCCAGCAGAAAGAUGUCAUUGAGAAGAUAUAGCAUCCACUAAUGUAAGAAUAAGUUUCAUAUAAAAAAUACCCGAUCUUGUCACACAAGAAAGUUCAUUUUAUCAGGCAUGAUUAAGAGAUAUCAUGAAAUUACAACUCAACAAUGAUUUACAGCACAGGCUUUUCACAACUAAGAGACUGUCCAUCAUGGUGCCAGUUUUUCUCAAAAUGGCAUGUGUGCAUGAAAUUCUACAGGCAUAUGGGGUCGUGAUCUGCUAAUCUCCAGUUAUUAUACAAAACUACAGAUACUUGAAAACACAAUGAAAUAAAAAUUCUAGCAGAAGAAGACAAUAUAUGAAAUUUAAUAAUUCGUUUCCUGGGAAUGACAGCAGAAUGGUGAUGACAGAGGAAAGAGCCAAUAAAAUUUGAAGACAGACUACUUUGAAAGAGACUUUCCAGCUAUCAGUACACUAUCUCGCAAUUACCCUUGAACCAGAAGACAAUAAAUGAUUUGCUAAACAGAUGGCAUAGUCCUAUGACAUGCAUCAUAUGUGUGAGCAAUCACAGAAGGUAUGACUUUUCUCAUGGAAUA
Long non-coding RNA from Pongo pygmaeus (Bornean orangutan), 1088 nucleotides. RefSeq lists it as uncharacterized. Lineage: Eukaryota; Metazoa; Chordata; Mammalia; Primates; Hominidae. The transcript is spliced from 4 exons. The record is from RefSeq and is a predicted model, not a curated record.